Non-coding RNA from Peromyscus maniculatus bairdii (prairie deer mouse), 1700 nucleotides. The record is from RefSeq and is a predicted model, not a curated record. Lineage: Eukaryota; Metazoa; Chordata; Mammalia; Rodentia; Cricetidae.
AGCAGCAGGAGCAGCAGGAGCAGCAGCAGCAGCAGGAGCAGCAGCAGAAGCAGGAGCAGCAGCAGAAGCAGGAGCAGCAGCAGGCUCCCUCCCUGAGCCGAGCCUGUAUCGAUAUCAGUUUAGGACUCCACCCCUCAUUCUAAAAAGGCCCCAGUCACAAGGAGUCGUAACCUUGCAGAGGUUGAGAGCUGUCUGAAGACGGAGGAAAGAAAAUCUCCAGGCGCCGAGCACAACUGCUCCGUGUACGUCAGUCUUCACAGACCCCAGCACCACUUCUGCCCAAGAACACCCGGGAAGGCAGACACCCCCAAGGCUAUGAUACAGAUGAGAUGAAUGGCAAUCUGCAUUAACCACAGGCUGAUCAACCCCCCUGGAAUGUUUGCUGAAAAGCAAGGCAGGGGAGGUUGGCCCAUGAAGGAGCCCUAUCGCCAGCCAUCAGCAAAGGCCAGACCUGGUGGAGACUGGGAGGCAUGCCUGGCAGCCCAGAGACCUUGUGAGCUUUCUAGGUGCUUCCAGCUCAUGGUGAGGCAAGGGAGCCAGUCCCGUGUGUGUGUGUGUGUGUGUGUGUGUGUGUGUGUGUGUGUGUGUGUGAUGUGCACAGUCCCUGGUGGAUAGCACCCCUACCACAUCUAUGACCUUGGCACUAAAGUGAAACUCCUUUGUGGACAAAUGACAUGAGCUUUAAUAAGGAGUUUACCUCAUCAAAUGGCCUGCUUAGGGCGGUGAGAAGGAGCCCAGAUGAAUCUCUCUUGAAUGGACAAAUGCUUUUGUGUAGGUGGAGGUAGGCUAGGUUCUGGAACUGCCCCGGCCAUCCCCUCUCUUGUGGCCCCCUUCUCUGGUUUCUUUGUGCUGCUGCAGGUGGACUCCACGGUCUUUUACCUGUUAGGCAAGUGCCCCACCACCAAGCUACAUCCCAGCCUCUGGUGGAAUUUUCUUAAGUCAGAAAGUCCAGGAAAUACUUCAGAUAGACAACAGAACCUAAUAUUUGUCCAUAUUGACAAUCCCCAACCCACCAACCAACCAACAAACUAACCAACCUGCUGAAUCAUUCACCCACCCACCCACCAACCAACCAACCAACCAACCAUCCAUCUGAAUCACAAACCAAACAGCUGAAUCACAAAACAAGUACCAGCUGAACCACAAACAAACCACCCAAACAACUGAACUAUCAACCAAUCAAACAAAUAGACAAACAACUAAUAGAACAACUAACCAACUAACCAACCAACCAACUAACCAAUGGACCGAGUAACCAAUCCACCAACUAACUAACCAAUGGACUGAGUAACCAAUCCACCAACUAACCAACUGAUCAACUAACCAACCAACGGAAUAGCUAACUAACUGCACAACCAAUCAUCCAAUUAACUGAGCUAUCAACCAAUUAACCAACCAAUCCACCAGCCAACUGAAUCAUUAACCAACCAACCAAUCAACCAACCAAACAUGCCAGCAACUAGGUAGCCAAAGCAACAACCGAGAAGUAAAACCACUAAUCUAAAUAUUUACUGGGUUGAAAAGAAAUCCCCUCUUCCUGUGUUUCUGUUCUUCGGCACCCCCUUUCCCCCUAACCUGAGGAGUCCUGUUAAUGCUCCUUAGACGCCUCCUCUGCUGGGCCAUCCCACCACCGCUCGAGUCCAUCCCUCUAGAUAUUGCUCUGCCGGGCACCUCUGUCCCUUGCACGACUGCCCACGAGC